RNAcentral lists this transfer RNA (91 nucleotides) under Campylobacter hyointestinalis. Its description in RNAcentral is "tRNA-Ser". It matches the Rfam family "tRNA". Rfam says of the family: Transfer RNA (tRNA) molecules are approximately 80 nucleotides in length. Their secondary structure includes four short double-helical elements and three loops (D, anti-codon, and T loops). Further hydrogen bonds mediate the characteristic L-shaped molecular structure. tRNAs have two regions of fundamental functional importance: the anti-codon, which is responsible for specific mRNA codon recognition, and the 3' end, to which the tRNAs corresponding amino acid is attached (by aminoacyl-tRNA synthetases). tRNAs cope with the degeneracy of the genetic code in two manners: having more than one tRNA (with a specific anti-codon) for a particular amino acid; and 'wobble' base-pairing, i.e. permitting non-standard base-pairing at the 3rd anti-codon position. RNAcentral also lists the same sequence under 1 other name. The record is from RNAcentral. Lineage: Bacteria; Pseudomonadati; Campylobacterota; Epsilonproteobacteria; Campylobacterales; Campylobacteraceae.
GGACAGAUGGGUGAGCGGCUGAAACCACACCCCUGCUAAGGGUGCAAGUCUUAAUUGGGCUUCGAGGGUUCAAAUCCCUCUCUGUCCGCCA